Molecule: unclassified non-coding RNA, 925 nt
Filed under: Hevea brasiliensis (rubber tree)
Lineage: Eukaryota; Viridiplantae; Streptophyta; Magnoliopsida; Malpighiales; Euphorbiaceae
Source: RNAcentral
UUUGUCUAGUCCCUUCUGCUGCCACUUGUCGACCUUCCUUAUCCCAGCAGGCAGGAGAAGGCUAUCCUCCCUUUGACCCGUCCGUGGAUUUCCUCUCCUUUGCUGGAUUGGUAUGUAGAUAACCAUUUUGGGUUUGAUUAGUUUGCAACCGGUUUGAAUGUGUUAAGGGUCUCUUUGGGCUACCUAGUUUUUCGAUUUCUUUCCUUCUCCUAGUCUAUUUUGUCUUGCUAGUCUAGAGCUUUUGUGAUGCAUGUUGUGAGCAGAAGCUAUGGUGGUUGUUUGUGGGGUUUUGGCUAUAUGAUUAACUCAGAAGGUGCAAAUGGGUAUCGCCUCUUAUCCUCUACUCUUAAUAGGUGCCAAUUUGAUUCAUUCACGGGAGUCUCGUUAAUCCCUGGCUCGUCAACCUAGAGCUUUUAUAGCUCAGUUUGUUGAGUUUGUGGAGCUAUUGCUUUGAGAGUAGAAAGAGAUCAUUGUAUUUGUUGCCUUGUCGACAGCCUUGAAGAGUUGCAGACGAAGACUAAAUGAAUGGCUCCCUACGGACUUCAGUUAGAAAUAGGCCAUGCAUGGGGACCAUAAAAUCAGGGACCCUCAGUUUUUGUGCUCAUGGUUGCAUGAUGUCAUCCCCGGCGACCGAUGGCUCUUUGGCAUGGUGAGCGGCGCUGUUAGGUUGCACAUCAUUUGCUUGCCAGGUCAAGGGGAAUUUCGGGUCGAAUACCAACUGCUUACCAAGGUUUUUAAGUGAUCCGAGUUAUGGGCAUUUAAUAUAUUCUAUCGGGUAUUGGGAGCUGGUUUUUGUAUGGAAUGAAUCUUUCCUUGUAAUUUGGCCUAUAGCCCUGUUUUCAAUCCAUUUAUCAAUGAAAAAAAAAUCAGCCUGUUUUGAUAGAGAGUAAAUAAAUCCGGAAAAACAAAAACAGACCCAAACAGG